Non-coding RNA from Vicia faba (fava bean), 372 nucleotides. The record is from the annotation of a GenBank genome assembly. Lineage: Eukaryota; Viridiplantae; Streptophyta; Magnoliopsida; Fabales; Fabaceae.
AUGCAGAUUAUUUCCUCACUGUUUAACUUCUCUCACGCCUACGUCGUUGUUCCGCCCCUGUAUCACCCACGUCGGUCCGCCGUUUCACGUCUCCUUGCCGCUGUUUUACGCCCCCGUUUCAUAUCUCCUCGCCGCCGGCUGCACGAAGAUAUCCUUCGCCGGCCAUUUUGCCGUCCGUUCGCCGUCUUCGAAACAUCCUCCGCCGUCCAACUACGAUUCUGGCUGUUAGGCAGUGUUUUGGAGAUUGUUGUGGAUUUUGGGAGUUUUGUGCAGUUUGGUAGGCUUGUUUUGUUCGGGAACUGCAGGUUUUUGCUUGAAACUGUUAACAGGUUUUGGAGCCUUGACUUUUUGAAGAGAGUUGCCAAUCUUUGA